GCACGAAGUUGAAGAGCUUGCUCUUUAACCUAGUGAGUGGCGGACGGGUGAGUAACACGUGGGUAACCUGCCCAUUAGAGGGGGAUAACACUUGGAAACAGGUGCUAAUACCGCAUAAUUGUUUUAGCCGCAUGGCUGAGAUAUGAAAGACGCUUUCGGGUGUCACUAAUGGAUGGACCCGCGCUGCAUUAGUUAGUUGGUGAGGUAAUGGCUCACCAAGACCGUGAUGCAUAGCCGACCUGAGAGGGUGAUCGGCCACACUGGGACUGAGACACGGCCCAGACUCCUACGGGAGGCAGCAGUAGGGAAUCUUCGGCAAUGGACGAAAGUCUGACCGAGCAACGCCGCGUGAGUGAAGAAGGUUUUCGGAUCGUAAAACUCUGUUGUUAGAGAAGAACAAGUGGGAGAGUAACUGUUCCCACCUUGACGGUAUCUAACCAGAAAGCCACGGCUAACUACGUGCCAGCAGCCGCGGUAAUACGUAGGUGGCAAGCGUUGUCCGGAUUUAUUGGGCGUAAAGCGAGCGCAGGUGGUUCUUUAAGUCUGAUGUGAAAGCCCCCGGCUCAACCGGGGAGGGUCAUUGGAAACUGGGGAACUUGAGUGCAGAAGAGGAGAGUGGAAUUCCAUGUGUAGCGGUGAAAUGCGUAGAUAUAUGGAGGAACACCAGUGGCGAAGGCGACUCUCU
Molecule: ribosomal RNA, 685 nt
Filed under: Vagococcus salmoninarum
Lineage: Bacteria; Bacillati; Bacillota; Bacilli; Lactobacillales; Enterococcaceae
Description: bacterial SSU rRNA
Rfam family: Bacterial small subunit ribosomal RNA
Source: RNAcentral